Long non-coding RNA from Solea senegalensis (Senegalese sole), 496 nucleotides. RefSeq lists it as uncharacterized. The record is from RefSeq and is a predicted model, not a curated record. NCBI's taxonomy places the organism in Eukaryota, Metazoa, Chordata, Actinopteri, Pleuronectiformes, Soleidae. The transcript is spliced from 3 exons.
CACCUUGGUAUCCCCAGGUGAGAUGUGUUUGUAUGGACCGCUGUCCUCAUCGUCAGGAGGACGUGGUUUGAGAAUGGCCGGUUGAGGCAUUUUCCCGUCCCAGGUGGACAAGAACAUGAGGAGAUUCAUGACUUCACCCUGUCAGAGCAAAACGUACACGGUGAGAGUGUCCUGCACAAUACCCAUGACGGGUCUGUUGGACUGGGGCGUAACAAUCAUACGUGGCACCAUGGCCAGCUCCUGAAUCUCUGCCCUGGUCUCCAGGGACUGAGGCAGGUGAAGGUUCAUCUCAUCCCCAUCAAAGUCAGCAUUGUAUGGGGUGGUGACACUGAAGGCAGAAAAGAGAAUAGGAUGUUGGAGAUGAUGAUGCUUCUUUUUUUUUUUUUGCACAUGGAUUAUAGCUGUUUCUGUUGAACCAAUCAAACUUACAUAAAACGUAAGGAAUAUUCUGAAGCGUGCACUCAAGUGCUAAAUAAAUUACUUCUGUGACAAGCAA